ACCUCCUCAAACAAACCAGCCAAUAGAAACACGAAAUUAGGAAAUUCAAAAACACAAACACUUCACUGAAAAUAAAAUAAAAAAUCAAAAAAAUAAAAACCACGUGCUCGUCACAAGCAGUACGUUUCAAUCGACACGCCGGUGAAGAACAAUGUUUAUCGGCAUAUGAAAACUGCCGAUUCAGCUGGAUUAUAAGGAAAACGGCGAAAUAUUCGCCGGAAAAAAAAAACGAAAAAGCAGAUUCAAAACAGAGAAUCAAAACUCGCUUCCGAUAGCAACGGAGAUUUGAAACAGUAAGAAAUCAACUACAGUUUGUUCCGACGGAGAAGAGAGAGAAAUUCGGCAACGGUAUUGCAUUCAAUCGGAGUUAAUAUGAAUUGAAUACUGGUUUUAUUUUGACGCGGUAAUAAU
Molecule: long non-coding RNA, 411 nt
Filed under: Erythranthe guttata (spotted monkey flower)
Lineage: Eukaryota; Viridiplantae; Streptophyta; Magnoliopsida; Lamiales; Phrymaceae
Description: long non-coding RNA (EGUT_LNC000441)
Source: RNAcentral